UUUCCCUAUCCCUGUCCCUGUCCUUGCUUCUCUCCCUAUCUUUGUCCCUCUCGCGAUCCCUAUCCCUAUCCCUGUCCCUGUCUCUAUCCCUCUCCUUAUCGCGUCCUUUCUCUCUCUCCUUUUCCCUACUUUUUGAAGACUCUCUUUCAUAGUCUCGAGAACCAUGCUGAGAUUUGGAAUCGCUGUGAUCGUCGGCGCCGCCAUGGCUGUGACUGCUAGCGCNGAGGCUGAGGAGAGAAGCCACCACCGCCAGAACCGUAGUUAUCGUUGUCGAAGUCGGCACCAUUGCCAUCAUAUCUUCCUCCUUCGUAAUCGGUCAUCUUGAAAAUUGAAUGAUUGAUUAAUUCUUAGGCAAAAGUUUUGGAGCUGUUUCUUACUUUCGGGUUGGGUUCUCUGUUUAGCUGCGAAGCUUGAGACUGCUAAUGGAGAAUCAAGAACCCGAUGAUUUUGAG
Molecule: unclassified non-coding RNA, 452 nt
Filed under: Hevea brasiliensis (rubber tree)
Lineage: Eukaryota; Viridiplantae; Streptophyta; Magnoliopsida; Malpighiales; Euphorbiaceae
Source: RNAcentral